UACGUAUGGUGCAAGCGUUAUCCGGAUUUACUGGGUGUAAAGGGAGCGCAGGCGGCACGGCAAGCCUGAUGUGAAAGCCCGCGGCCCAACCGCGGGACUGCAUUGGGAACUACCGGGCUGGAGUGCCGGAGAGGUAGGCGGAAUUCCUAGUGUAGCGGUGAAAUGCGUAGAUAUUAGGAGGAACACCAGUGGCGGAGGCGGCCUACUGGACGGUGACUGACGCUGAGGCUCGAAAGCGUGGGGAGCAAACAGG
Molecule: ribosomal RNA, 253 nt
Filed under: uncultured bacterium
Lineage: Bacteria
Description: partial 16S ribosomal RNA
Rfam family: Bacterial small subunit ribosomal RNA
Source: RNAcentral